ACCUGUUCCCAUCCCGAACACAGAAGUUAAGCUCUGCAGAGCCGAUGGUACUUGGACCGCAGGGUCCUGGGAGAGUAGGACGUCGCUAGGC
This 91-nucleotide ribosomal RNA is filed under the name Tumebacillus sp. BK434. Lineage: Bacteria; Bacillati; Bacillota; Bacilli; Caryophanales; Alicyclobacillaceae. The record is from RNAcentral.